RNAcentral lists this long non-coding RNA (1445 nucleotides) under Sus scrofa (pig). Its description in RNAcentral is "lncRNA (ENSSSCG00015013609.1)". The record is from RNAcentral. Lineage: Eukaryota; Metazoa; Chordata; Mammalia; Artiodactyla; Suidae.
CAUUCCUUUGUGGUGCAGCAGGUUAAGGAUCCAGCAUUGUCACUGCAGCAGCUUGAGUUACUGCUGUAGCUUGAGUUUGAUCCCUGGCCUUGGAACUUCCACAUGCCUUAGGUGUGGCCCAAAAAAAAAAGUCCAAAGCACCUGUCACCUUCCCUUAGGCACUUGACCCAUUAUCUGCUUUUUGUCAAGGGUCUAGUAAUCUGUAGCUCACAAGUCAAAUCCAUCUGACACACUAUUUUUUGUUUUGUUUGUCUUGUUUUUCUUUUUAUGAAAUCAAGUUAUUCCUUUUUAAAAAAUUUUAUUGAAAUAUAGUUGACUUACAAUUUUGUUAUAGCUGUAAAGUGAUUCCGUUAUAUAGAAUAUACAUAUAUGUAAAAUCUUUUCCAUUAUAGGUUAUAGCUGUAAAGUGAUUCUGUUAUAUAGAAUAUACAUAUAUGUAAAAUCUUUUCCAUUAUAGGUUAUUAUAAGAUAUUGAGCAUCACCCUGUGCUAUACAGUAAGUCCUUGUUGGUUAUCUAUUUUAUAUAUAGUGAUGUAAAUAUUUUAAUCCCAAGCUCCUAAUUUGUCCCUCUCCCUCUUCCUCCUUGGUAACCAUAAAUAUGUUUUCCAUGUCUGUCAGUCUAUUUCUAUUUUGUAAAUAAGUUCUUUUGUAUCAUUUUUUUUAGAUUUCACACAUAAAGUGCUAUCACAGGAUAUUUGUCUUUGUUGUCUUACUUCACUUACUAUGAUAGUCUCUAGGUCCACUCAUGUUGCUGCAAAUGGUAUUAUUUCAUUCUUUUUUAUGGCUGAGUAAUAUUCCAUUUGUAUAUAUGAAUCUCAUCUUCUUUAUCCAAUCCUCUGGUGAUGGACAUUUAGGUUGUUUCCAUGUCUUGGCUAUUGUAUAUAGUGCUGCUGUGAACACUGGGCGCAUGUAUCUUUUCAAAUUAUGUUUUUCUCUGGAUGUAUACCUAGGAGUGGGAUUGCAGGAUCAUGUGGUAACUCUAUUAGUGGAUUUUUUGUUGUUGCUGUUGUCUUUUUAGGGCCACAGCCUAUGGAAGUUCCCACCCUAGAGGUCAAAUCGGAGCUCUAGCUGGUGGCCUACACCACAGCUCAUGGCAGCAACGCCCGAUUCUUAACCCACUAAGCAAGGCCAGGGAUCAGACUUGCAUCCUCAUGGAUCCUAGUCAGAUUUGUUUCUGCUGAGCCAUGACUGGAAUUCCCAGUAACCAUUAGUCUUUUAAGGAACCACCGUACUCCUUUUCAUGGUGGCUAUUCCAGUUGACAUCCCCAUCAACAGUGCAGGAGGGUUCUUUUCUCCAUACCUUUGUCGGCAUUUAUUAUUUGUAGGCUCUUUGAUGAUAGCCAUAUUGAACGGUGUGAGGUGACACCUUAUUAUAGUUUUGAUUUGCAUUUCUCUAAUAAUUAGCAAUGUUGAGCAUCUUUUCAUGUGCCUUUGGCCAUCUGUAU